RNAcentral lists this long non-coding RNA (201 nucleotides) under Capsicum annuum. RNAcentral describes it as "long non-coding RNA (CANN_LNC001821)". Lineage: Eukaryota; Viridiplantae; Streptophyta; Magnoliopsida; Solanales; Solanaceae. The record is from RNAcentral.
UAUGCACGACAAUGGCCAAAGCUACCUUGAGCAAUAGUCCCCCAGCCUUUUGGAUUUGCUAACAAGCUGGACCCACUGGUGUUUCAGUUCCCAUGGCAAAAUUUUCUGAGUCUACUUAAAACAUAGUAAUGACUCCCCCAAUAUCCUAACAGAGUAGGUAUACUCAAAGAAAGCUGGUGCAAGUUCUUAGGUUGGUAGCCA